GACGAACGCUGGCGGCGUGCCUAAUACAUGCAAGUCGAGCGGAGUCUUUCGGACAGAAGCUUUCGGGCGGACGACUGAAAGACUUAGCGGCGGACGGGUGAGUAACACGUGGGCAACCUGCCCGUAAGUCGGGGAUAACCAGUGGAAACAUUGGCUAAUACCGGAUGUGGUCUUCUUGCUGCAUGGCGAGGAGAAGAAAGAGGGAGCAAUCUCUCGCUUACGGAUGGGCCCGCGGCGCAUUAGCUGGUUGGUGAGGUAACGGCUCACCAAGGCGACGAUGCGUAGCCGACCUGAGAGGGUGAUCGGCCACACUGGGACUGAGACACGGCCCAGACUCCUACGGGAGGCAG
This 350-nucleotide ribosomal RNA is filed under the name uncultured Bacillota bacterium. Its description in RNAcentral is "bacterial SSU rRNA". It matches the Rfam family "Bacterial small subunit ribosomal RNA", at positions 28 to 351 of the family's 1533-position model. Lineage: Bacteria; Bacillati; Bacillota. The record is from RNAcentral.